This 407-nucleotide ribosomal RNA is filed under the name Hypogastrura purpurescens. RNAcentral describes it as "partial 28S ribosomal RNA". The record is from RNAcentral. Lineage: Eukaryota; Metazoa; Arthropoda; Collembola; Poduromorpha; Hypogastruridae.
CCUCUCGGGGGUAAGCGGGCAGAACUUGCAAGUAUUGGCGGGAGAUUCAGACUUGGUACGCAGGGCUGGGUGUGCUUGUUAAGUUGCACAUUCGUGGGCGGACUGACGAGUAUGCCUUGUUCCUUGUGUAAUGCGUCGCAUUUCUCCCUGUCAUCCGGGUUGCAUGCAACUGAUUUGAUAGUUUAGGUGCCGRGAUCCUGCAAAUCCUUGUUGGUUUGAGCCCCGGUGGCCGACUAUUGUUGCGGUUGUUGAAAGCGAACAAGCGCUUGGCGCGGUCAGCUGUUGUCACGAGUCGUGUACAUGCUAUAUGUGGACGAGCAAUCGUAGCCUGUGGCAUGUACUGGUUGUCAGUGAGAGCAGUUGGCAUUGUUCAGUAUUGCAAUCUAAAGCAUGCGUGGUCUGCCUGU